This 88-nucleotide unclassified non-coding RNA is filed under the name Pseudomonas mediterranea. Lineage: Bacteria; Pseudomonadati; Pseudomonadota; Gammaproteobacteria; Pseudomonadales; Pseudomonadaceae. The record is from RNAcentral.
UGUGGGAGCGAGCCUGCUCGCGAAGCGGCGUGUCAGCCUGAAUAGAUGUCGACUGACACACCGAAUCGCGAGCAGGCUCGCUCCCACA